RNAcentral lists this ribosomal RNA (465 nucleotides) under uncultured bacterium. Its description in RNAcentral is "bacterial SSU rRNA". It matches the Rfam family "Bacterial small subunit ribosomal RNA", at positions 338 to 795 of the family's 1533-position model. The record is from RNAcentral.
CCUANGGGUGGCUGCAGUGGGGAAUUUUGGACAAUGGGCGAAAGCCUGAUCCAGCAAUGCCGCGUGCAGGAUGAAGGCCUUAGGGUUGUAAACUGCUUUUGUACGGAACGAAACGGCUCCUUCUAAUACAAGGGGCUAAUGACGGUACCGUAAGAAAAAGCAUCGGCUAACUACGUGCCAGCAGCCGCGGUAAUACGUAGGAUGCUAGCGUUGUCCGGAUUUACUGGGUGUAAAGGGAGCGCAGGCGGGUUGGUAAGUCGGUGGUGAAAUUUUCGGGCUUAACCCGAACACUGCCAUCGAUACUGCUAAUCUUGAGUGCAGAAGAGGUUGAUGGAAUUCUAGGUGUAGCGGUGAAAUGCGUAGAUAUCUAGAAGAACACCGAUGGCGAAGGCAGUCAACUGGUCUGCUACUGACGCUCAUGCUCGAAAGCGUGGGGAUCAAACAGGAUUAGAUACCCGGNUANUC